This 497-nucleotide ribosomal RNA is filed under the name uncultured bacterium. RNAcentral's name for it is "partial 16S ribosomal RNA". It matches the Rfam family "Bacterial small subunit ribosomal RNA", at positions 28 to 507 of the family's 1533-position model. The record is from RNAcentral.
GACGAACGCUGGCGGCGUGCCUAAUACAUGCAAGUUGAGCGCUGAAGGUUGGUACUUGUACCAACUGGAUGAGCAGCGAACGGGUGAGUAACGCGUGGGGAAUCUGCCUUUGAGCGGGGGACAACAUUUGGAAACGAAUGCUAAUACCGCAUAAAAACUUUAAACACAAGUUUUAAGUUUGAAAGAUGCAAUUGCAUCACUCAAAGAUGAUCCCGCGUUGUAUUAGCUAGUUGGUGAGGUAAAGGCUCACUAAGGCGAUGAUACAUAGCCGACCUGAGAGGGUGAUCGGCCACAUUGGGACUGAGACACGGCCCAAACUCCUACGGGAGGCAGCAGUAGGGAAUCUUCGGCAAUGGACGAAAGUCUGACCGAGCAACGCCGCGUGAGGGAAGAAGGUUUUCGGAUCGUAAAACUCUGUUGGUAGAGAAGAACGUUGGUGAGAGUGGAAAGCUCAUCAAGUGACGGUAACUACCCAGAAAGGGACGGCUAACUACGUG